UGAAUACGAGACGCUAAGGCGUCGAAGUAGUGUAUGUCAUACUUCCAAGAAAAGCUUGCACUGUCAUAGAUAAAAAACGCCUGUACCAUAACCGACGCAGGUGGGUAGGUAGAGUAUACUAAGGGGCGCGAGAUAACUCUCUCUAAGGAACUCGGCAAAAUAACUCCGUAACUUCGGGAGAAGGAGUGCCUUAUUCGUAAGGUUGCAAUAACAAGAUCCAAGCAACUGUUUAUCAAAAACACAGGUCUCCGCUAAGUCGUAAGACGAUGUAUGGGGGCUGACGCCUGCCCAGUGCCAGAAGGUUAAAGAAGUUGGUUAGCAAUUGCGAAGCUGAUAACUGAAGCCCUGGUGAACGGCGGCCGUAACGAUAACGGUCCUAAGGUAGCGAAAUUCCUUGUCGGGUAAGUUCCGACCCGCACGAAAGGCGUAAUGAUUUGGAUACUGUCUCGGAGAGGGGCUCGGUGAAAUAGACUUGUCUGUGAAGAUGCGGACUACCUGCACCAGGACAGAAAGACCCUAUGAAGCUUUACUGUAACUUGAAAUUGAAAUUGGACUUUAUUCGCGCAGUAUAGGUGGGAGGCGUUGAUUAUAAUCUUGUGGGAUUAUUGGAGCCAUCAGUGAGAUACCACUCUUGUAAUGUUAGAUUUCUAACUUUGAAUCAUUAUCUGGUCAAAGAACAGUUUCAGGCGGGCAGUUUGACUGGGGCGGUCGCCUCCUAAACGGUAACGGAGGCGUACAAAGGUUUCCUCUGAACGGUUAGAAAUCGUAUCUAGAGUGUAAAGGCAUAAGGAAGCUUGACUGUGAGACCUACAAGUCGAGCAGGGACGAAAGUCGGUCUUAGUGAUCUGACGGUACUGAGUGGAAAGGCCGUCACUCAACGGAUAAAAGUUACUCUAGGAUAACAGGCUGAUCUCCCCCAAGAGUUCACAUCGACGGGGAGGUUUGGCACCUCGAUGUCGGCUCAUCGCAUCCUGGGGCGGUAGUACGUCCCAAGGGUUGGGCUGUUCGCCCAUGAAUCGGUACGCGAGCUGGGUUCAGAACGUCGUGAGACAGUUCGGUCCAUAUCCGGUGUAGGCGUUAGAAUAUUGAGAGGAGCCUUCUUUAGUACGAGAGGACCGAGAAGGACAUACCUCUGGUGUACCAGUUAUCGUGCCAACGGUAAACGCUGGGUAGCUAUGUAUGGAGUGGAUAACCGCUGAAAGCAUCUAAGUGGGAAGCCCACCUCAAGAUAAGUAUUCUC
RNAcentral lists this ribosomal RNA (1240 nucleotides) under metagenome. RNAcentral's name for it is "bacterial LSU rRNA". It matches the Rfam family "Bacterial large subunit ribosomal RNA", at positions 1564 to 2815 of the family's 2925-position model. The record is from RNAcentral.